This is a long non-coding RNA of Chelonia mydas (Green sea turtle), 816 nucleotides long. RefSeq lists it as uncharacterized. The transcript has 3 exons. The record is from RefSeq and is a predicted model, not a curated record. NCBI's taxonomy places the organism in Eukaryota, Metazoa, Chordata, Testudines, Cheloniidae.
GUCUGACACUUUCUAACAGCUUAAUGAAAGCUGCCUUUUUCUGAUUAACUCUUUAAUGAAUGCCAAAGAGACUUAACUACAGACUGCAUUUUAGAAGCUAGCAUUUUCACAGCUACACAGGUAGAUGAAUCUGAUAGCAGAGAGCUUUGUAUUCAGCUAUUUCCUUUCUGCAAAAUUAGGUUUUUUAAGUCUACUCAUGCUGCAAAUACUUGUGCUGCUCCCACCACAGGGUUUUCAAAACAUCAAGAGCAGAUUAAGGAAAAGAAAACAUAAAACCUUCAUAUGAGAGCACAGUGAUUUCCCUUGUAACUUUCUGCAUUUGACACGAAACACAAAAUGGCAGACGCCUCAAAGACUGCCCUGCAGCAGGCAUGGAGACUCCAUUACAUUUAAAGGCACCGUACACAGGAACAAGAAAGGAGAUUGGCCUUCUGUGCUGUGAGUCAGGUUCCUUGCUCAGACUGUACCAGUCUUUAUCAAUUCUUUGCUACAGACUAAGUUUUCAACUUUUAGGGCCAUACAAGGCCCUUCUUUCCUUGCACAAGUGGUAUGUUGAUGCUGAUGGGAAUUAUUCACAUAGGUUGAGGGCACAAUAUGGCCCUUACUUUGGGAAGCUAUUGGGAAUUACGCUAGUUGACUAACUGAAGAACAGAUAACAUGCAAAUAACCUUUGGCCCCUUUAUAUGCCUUCAAAAAAGGGAAAUAACAGUGUUCAUGAUUCUCAAACUAGACAACAAAGCAUCCAGUGUAACCUUUGAAUGCUGUUUCCCAUCUACAGUCAGAUUCUAAUUAAAAAGACAAACAGUCAUUCACCAA